Molecule: ribosomal RNA, 477 nt
Filed under: uncultured organism
Description: partial 16S ribosomal RNA
Rfam family: Bacterial small subunit ribosomal RNA
Source: RNAcentral
ACGUACACUCCUACGGGAGGCAGCAGUAGGGAAUCUUCGGCAAUGGGGGCAACCCUGACCGAGCAACGCCGCGUGAGUGAAGAAGGUUUUCGGAUCGUAAAGCUCUGUUGUAAGUCAAGAACGAGUGUGAGAGUGGAAAGUUCACACUGUGACGGUAGCUUACCAGAAAGGGACGGCUAACUACGUGCCAGCAGCCGCGGUAAUACGUAGGUCCCGAGCGUUGUCCGGAUUUAUUGGGCGUAAAGCGAGCGCAGGCGGUUUGAUAAGUCUGAAGUUAAAGGCUGUGGCUCAACCAUAGUUCGCUUUGGAAACUGUCAAACUUGAGUGCAGAAGGGGAGAGUGGAAUUCCAUGUGUAGCGGUGAAAUGCGUAGAUAUAUGGAGGAACACCGGUGGCGAAAGCGGCUCUCUGGUCUGUAACUGACGCUGAGGCUCGAAAGCGUGGGGAGCGAACAGGAUUAGAAACCCGUGUAGUCCCA